Molecule: non-coding RNA, 138 nt
Organism: Ornithorhynchus anatinus (platypus)
Lineage: Eukaryota; Metazoa; Chordata; Mammalia; Monotremata; Ornithorhynchidae
Source: Rfam
CCCCUCUCAGGGUCACACCUGGAGAGUUUCCAGUACUCUACCAGUUUGGGCUACGGAAGGGAGGGUCGAGCAGAGGCCUGUCCAUUCCAUUCCUAGUCUGGCCAGUGGCUAGCGAGUGGAAGGCAAUGUGCUACAAGU